CCGAGGCGGUGGAGAGCCUGGAUCCCGGGGCCCCGGGCCGGACGGCGGAGAUGCCCCAAACUGACACGGCCGCCAUCUUGGAGACAAUGGGGAGACUGAGGCAUUGGGGGUUGGAUUUGGCUUCAGUGGCACUGGAAGCUGCCGUGUACCCGGGAUUCGCGCUCCAACACUGCCACAAACUCAUUUGCAAAGUGCUUUCCUCACGGCCCUUUGAAAAUGAAGAUGCAAAUGUUAUCAUCCCCAUUUUACAGGCAAUUUAAACCACAACCUUGGCUACCAUCUUGCUUCAGCCCUCAGUGGGAACAGAAAUCAAGACCCUGAAACCAAGAGCCUUGGGAAUUACCAGUGCCCCCCAAACCUGCUUGUGGUCCAACUUCUACAGCCAUCCAAGAGGGGAGACAUCAUUGUGGAGACAGGAUCCUUCCUCCUUAUCAUGACCAACGAUAAUUGCUGAUUAACCACCACCAACAGACAGAGGAGCUCUGGGAGUGGCAGGGCUGCUUCCAGCCCAGCUCUCACAGCCAUCAUCUGGGCAAGCAACUCCUGUGGAGAAGGGGUCAACCAUCUUCAGCAAUGGCCAAACAGUUGCCACACAUGGGUCAGGUAGGCCAAUCUAGCUGAAACAGCAAGCAAGAGGCAGGAGACAGCAUAUGCCAGGCAUCACCAGCACUUGGACCACCACUUCCUCUCAGCCCCUGAUGGGAUCAAUCCAGGAACCUGAACUCAAGAGCCCUAGGAAGAGUGACAUUAAAUAACGGCAUGAUUAAAGAGGCGUUAACAUCUGCUUUGGCCUAAAGACUGUGGGGUCUUUCCACGUGACUUACCACUGAAAGCUUCCAUAUGUGUUUUCUGUCCCGUUAGAAGGUGAUUUCCUUGAAAGCAAGAACUACUUUUCUAUUUGUA
Molecule: long non-coding RNA, 903 nt
Organism: Vombatus ursinus (common wombat)
Lineage: Eukaryota; Metazoa; Chordata; Mammalia; Diprotodontia; Vombatidae
Exons: 3
Source: RefSeq, a predicted model, not a curated record